This 234-nucleotide long non-coding RNA is filed under the name Medicago truncatula (barrel medic). RNAcentral's name for it is "long non-coding RNA (MTRU_LNC008215)". The record is from RNAcentral. Lineage: Eukaryota; Viridiplantae; Streptophyta; Magnoliopsida; Fabales; Fabaceae.
GAAAAUCGCGAUAACAAGUAAUAUGUUAAAAUUACUAGUUGAUUGUAUCAAAAAACAAUUAUAAAAUGAUGAACUUUACUUUUUUAAACAAGCAAUGUUAAUAUUAUGUUGAGAAUGAGGUUUGAAGCCUCAAUCUCAUUAUCACUUCACUCAUUAUCACUCAUCUCUUUAACUAUCCUACCACAACCACCAAAUCACUCUUACAUCUCUUACAAUUUGCAUUCUAUACUUCUA